This is a non-coding RNA of Oreochromis niloticus (Nile tilapia), 94 nucleotides long. Lineage: Eukaryota; Metazoa; Chordata; Actinopteri; Cichliformes; Cichlidae. The record is from Rfam.
GCUCCAGUGGCGCAAUCGGUCAGCGCGCGGUACUUAUAAGACAGUAGCCUGCAGAGUGAUGCCGAGGUUGUGAGUUCGAGCCUCACCUGGAGCA